RNAcentral lists this ribosomal RNA (475 nucleotides) under Potamonautes isimangaliso. RNAcentral's name for it is "partial 16S ribosomal RNA". It matches the Rfam family "Archaeal large subunit ribosomal RNA", at positions 2006 to 2675 of the family's 2987-position model. Lineage: Eukaryota; Metazoa; Arthropoda; Malacostraca; Decapoda; Potamonautidae. The record is from RNAcentral.
GGCCGCAGUAUUUUGACUGUGCAAAGGUAGCAUAAUCACUAGGUUUUUAAUUGAGAUCUUGUAUGAAUGAUUGGACAAGAAAAAUACUGUCUUUAUAUUAAAAAUUGAAUUUAACUUUUAAGUGAAAAGGCUUAAAUAUGCUAGGGGGACGAUAAGACCCUAUAAAACUUUACAUUGAUGUUAAAUUUUAUAGAAUUUUAAAUUAUAAUAAUUAAAUUUAAUUUUUUGUUAUGUUGGGGAGACAAAAGCUAUAAUUGAAUUAUAACUGCUUUAAAAAAAAACAAUAAUAGGUGGUAAAAUUAUAGAUCCUUUAUAAGGAUUAUUAGAUUAAGUUACUUUAGGGAUAACAGCGUUAUUUUUUUUGAGAGUUCAUAUCGAAGAAAAAGAUUGCGACCUCGAUGUUGAAUUAAAAUAUCUUUAUAAUGUAGGUGUUAUAAAAGAAGGUCUGUUCGACCUUUAAUUUUUUACGUGAUCU